UCAUCCGUAGCAGACAGACUGCGCUUUGAUUGUAAGAGCUGAUGAGUUGUUGUUUAAGUUUUAAAACCAUGCAGUAACUGUCGAUGACAUAUGAGAAACGUCACCACAGUGCGCCGUUUGUAAAAUUGUAAAGACAUGCAUCAUGCUACCAAAAGCCCAACAAGAUGUUUUGACUAAUUUGUAUGUCGUCACUUCCGUUUAUCCUACGCAUCGGGAAUUCAAGUAUCUACAGCCAAAGACAACAUUCUCCGCAGGCUGGACGAGGCCCACUGAGAGCUGAGAACCAUAAUGGCCACAGUAGAUCAUAAACUAGCUGGAGUUUCAUCCCAUAGCAAGACAUGACGGAACAACACCCCAUUUCUUGUUAGCAGGCAUGCCUCUGAAAGAUCUAAUGAGUUUACAGACACACAUGCAGUACAUAAUUUGGCGGAGCAGGUCAUUAGGCCCUGCGGUGUUGCCUGCAGCCGCUCUGCAACAUUAAAAGGCUGAGAUUUUCUCAGCUGAUAACAUCUGAAAGAAAAACAACACCUGCAGGAACAGAGGCUUUCCAGCUACACCUCAAAGUGAAUCUGUAACCAGUUUGAAAGUGAUCAAUGGGAUGUGACAGCAGCCUGAACAUCACCUGGGAAGACAGCUGACCUUAGAGGUGGUCUAAAUCAUUUAAACAGGCGGCUACUUAAUGUCAUCCCUCCCAAUGGGGUCUCACACUGUAAUUCAUGUGACUCUGAGAACUCACAUGUAGAGUAACUGUGACCUAGUUGAACUGGAUGACACUCAUGGGUGUCAUCGCGGUGUCACAUGUAAACAAAGAGUCACAGGUUCAGACCUCACAACUGUGUAUUCCAGAGAUGCUAACCCAGGUUAGGUGACUCAUUUAUGUGUGUGCAUGUGCUUUCUGUCAAUACGGCCUUGUAGGUUUAGAGUCCUGUGGUUUUGUUCUUGUACAUUUAGUGUUUUUUUUUUUUUUUUAAUGGAAAAGCUUAAAAGAAAGCUAUGUUACUGUUUUAAAUGAGUUUUGUGACAUUGUUCUUUAUGCUACUGAG
Thunnus maccoyii (southern bluefin tuna) is the source of this 1043-nucleotide long non-coding RNA. RefSeq lists it as uncharacterized. The record is from RefSeq and is a predicted model, not a curated record. The transcript is spliced from 6 exons. NCBI's taxonomy places the organism in Eukaryota, Metazoa, Chordata, Actinopteri, Scombriformes, Scombridae.